This 1209-nucleotide long non-coding RNA is filed under the name Homo sapiens (human). Its description in RNAcentral is "LNC_000541". Lineage: Eukaryota; Metazoa; Chordata; Mammalia; Primates; Hominidae. The record is from RNAcentral.
GUUAUAUUUCUGCUUUAAUAUAUAGUAACAUUUGAAAAUACACAGAUAUCCAGGAAAAAAAGGUAAAGCAGUAUGAGGUAUUGACAGCACAACUGUGUUUUAAUUUGGGAGUUAAUUUGGGGUGUUAUGUAACAGCAAUCAUACUUGUAGACAAACACAUCCACUAGCUCUGCAAACACAUUCAAAGGUAAUAGUAUAUAGUACACUCCACCCUGUAAAAUAUGUCAAAUACCCCCACUCUACAAAUUCACUGUGUUUCAUUAUUUUUUUUUUUGUUUUUAUAAGAAAAGGGGCAUAUCAUUAUAAUUCACAAUCCAAGUCAGAGUCUUAAUUUAGGUAUGAAAUAUUACCUGCCAAUUUGCUUCUCAAGCUACUUUAAAAAUAUAUAUAUAUUCUUUAAAGCCAUUUUAUGGCCAUGGGAAUCUAAUUAAUUUCAUAAUGAUGUUGGUUGAACAUGAUACCAAAAAAUGCAGGUAUUUUCAAGAACAAUAAAAUAGAUAACAGCAUUAAAGCAUAAUCCUUUAAGAAUUCAUGAGAAAAAAAAGGAUGAUAAAACUUAAGCUUCUUUUUCAGAUGUUUAAAAAUUUCUAUAAAAUUCUUUGUCCCAAGAUUAAUCAUAUAACCAUGGUACAUAAAAUAUGCUAACUACAUUGCCUGGUGUCAAGGUGGGAAAAUCCUCUUUUAUAACAUAAAAUCCUCUUCUAAUCCAUGUUGACCCAAGUCCUGGCUGUCUGAGGGCAGAUUCCUGUCAAGAGACCUAAGGUUGUCAUGGAAAGCAUCACUUUCGUCUACUAGUUGGUAAUCCUGUUCCAUUUCCGUUAGGAAGCCACUCCCAGAUCCUGAUCCAGAGCCGGAGCCGGAGCCGAAGCCUGAUCCAGAGUAGUCCUCAGAAAGUGGGAAGAUACGAUUCAAGUCCUGGAUUCUCGUCUUUGGAAAAAGGUCAGUCCUCAGACGGGGGAUCUUGUUGGAUUCACCUGGAAGUAGUUCGAACAUUGGUCCUUUUUCUUCAAGGCAGUUUGCAGAAUUACUGUCUGGAUUGCAGCGCACCCAUUGGUACCUGGCUCUCCGCGUAGGAUAACCUUGAACUGAGGAUUCCAGAACCAGGAUGAGGGCAAGAGCCAGGACAAGCCGACUGCAUUUGAGUAGCUUCUGCAUCAUGACCAACUUAGUCUAGCUCUCCCAGCUGCACGCCAACUUCUUGAUUAGGAA